Molecule: ribosomal RNA, 474 nt
Filed under: uncultured bacterium
Lineage: Bacteria
Description: bacterial SSU rRNA
Rfam family: Bacterial small subunit ribosomal RNA
Source: RNAcentral
ACUCGUAGACUCCUACGGGAGGCAGCAGUAGGGAAUCUUCCGCAAUGGACGAAAGUCUGACGGAGCAACGCCGCGUGAGUGAUGAAGGUUUUCGGAUCGUAAAACUCUGUUGUUAGGGAAGAACAAGUACCGGAGUAACUGCCGGUACCUUGACGGUACCUAACCAGAAAGCCACGGCUAACUACGUGCCAGCAGCCGCGGUAAUACGUAGGUGGCAAGCGUUGUCCGGAAUUAUUGGGCGUAAAGCGCGCGCAGGUGGUUUCUUAAGUCUGAUGUGAAAGCCCCCGGCUCAACCGGGGAGGGUCAUUGGAAACUGGGAGACUUGAGUGCAGAAGAGGAAAGUGGAAUUCCAAGUGUAGCGGUGAAAUGCGUAGAGAUUUGGAGGAACACCAGUGGCGAAGGCGACUUUCUGGUCUGUAACUGACACUGAGGCGCGAAAGCGUGGGGAGCAAACAGGAUUAGAUACCCUGGUAG